GCCAAGCAAGGAAGAGAGAGAAAGAAAGGAAGAACAAACCCUAGGUGAAGAAUUUCAAGAGAAAAAGUGUGGAAAAUCAAGGAAAAUAAGUGAAAAAGGUAGGAUUUUUCAAUUUAAGCUUGAAAUCUAUUUUCCUUAAGCAUUUCUCCUUAUUUUCCAUGCUUAAAUUACAUGUUUUCAUGAUGAAUUCAUGGCUGGUCAAAAUGGGUAAGGAGAGAGAAAGAUGUUGGAUUGAAUUGAUUUUAAGAUAUGUUAGUGUUAUUAGUUAGUUUAGCAUAUUUAAAAGCAAAACAACAAGAAAGGAAUCCAUUUUCCCCUAUGAAUCUUCAUGACUGAAUCUUCCUUGAUGUGUGUGGGUGAUGGAUUGUUAUUAUUUCAAUAGAAAUGGCUUAGAAAAUGAUGAAUAAUGGUGAAAAAAAUCAAGUAGGAAAAAUCACGAUGUUAGUGCACCACAAUGGCCAAAAUUUUCAAGAAGAAUUGUAAGGAUUGUUAGGCUGAAUUUUAGAUUAUUGGAAUUGUAUUUAGUGAAUUGAAAUAUUAGAAAUGAAAUGGAGCAAUUUGGAGCCAAAUCGGACACAAUUGUCAUUUAAUCGGGUAAUAGGCCGAAUUAGGUCAGCACCGCAUUUAAGCGGUAGUCGGAUAAGUUGCAUAUCAUAUCAUGCAUAUACACCGAGCCUNNNNNNNNNNNNNNNNNNNNNNNNNNNNNNNNNNNNNNNNNNNNNNNNNNNNNNNNNNNNNNNNNNNNNNNNNNNNNNNNNNNNNNNNNNNNNNNNNNNNNNNNNNNNNNNNNNNNNNNNNNNNNNNNNNNNNNNNNNNNNNNNNNNNNNNNNNNNNNNNNNNNNNNGAGCCUGAAUUGAUUUUAUAAUGGUCAAGCAUUAAUGUGGUGAAUUAUGUAUUGUACAUUAUGGAUAGGUGGUGAGCAAAUUACACUGGUAAAAGUACAGAGAUUGUGCUUGAAGACUGGGAUUAGGAGUACAUCGACUCCUAGAACUAUGAGUGGACAAUUUAUCAUCUUAAAUAUCUAGAGUAAUUAUACUUGUUUGAUGCUUUUAUUGAAUGGUGAGUUUAAAUUAUAAAAAAUUAUGUUUUCCAAUUAAAAUAUUUUUUUAUAAAAAAUGAGAUUUAUACUGGUUUUGCAAUCAAAUAUUGUUUUGGAAAAAUUGAGUAUAUGGAGACUGUGUUGAAAUUUAUGAUUCUAUAUGUUAUUGAAAUUGUGGCUUAUGACACUAUGGUAGCAUGAUGGCUAAAUUUUUGGGGUUGGCAUGAAAUAUAUGAACAAUUUUGGAUUGGUCUCGAUAGACUGGAUUACAUUUUAUUCGCCACAUUAUGCUAUUGAAAAUUUUAUGAGUCUGGUGGUAUAUUAAACGGUCACUACAUUGGUGGGGGUUUUCGUGGACUACCUAUGAGAGGGGCACGGUAACCCAAUUAUAUAUUUACCUCUAGGGGGAGAUGUUGGAUGAAGUAUCUCUUGAGGUAAGAUUUGAGUGCACCUCACGUUCAGGCCACCACGUAAGAGUGAGACUCAGCCAACGCCAAGGAACGGUUGUGUGUCAGAUGCGAAAACAUAUUUAUGGGUAUGGGACAUUUAACAGCCUUGGCGGUCUCAGUGGAAUACCUUAACGAAGGUACCCACGAGAACAAUUCUGGCAGGGGCCAAGUUUAAGAAACUUAUAAGCCAAGAAAAUUUUGACGAAAAGAAAUUGUUUGGUAUAAAUUGAAAUGAAUUUUGCGCUAUGAACAUUAUUGAAAUAUAACGUUUUUAUAUUGUCUCCAUCUACUCGGCUUUAAAUGCUUUUGAUGGUAAUUGUUUACUCACUGGGAUUAUAUAAUCUCACCCCUCUUCCUAUCUAUUUUUUUUUCAAGCUCAGGACAGUUUGUUGAUAGUUGAUUAAGACAAGAAUUAAUCUCGGAGUUGCAUGCUAGAAAGUAAGGGUUCAUAGCCCUACACUUCUUAGUUAGUUGGGGACUCACGUGUCACUGUAAAAGUAAUUUUAUACUUUAGUUAUCUGAUUUAAAGUAUGUAUGAAUAUAUUUAGCUUUUACACCAUGUUUUUAGCGGGUUUCGGUAUUUUCGAAGAAAAAUGACGAAAAUGCCCCUGUGUGACUGGAAAUAAUAUUUUAUUAUUUUGAUUUGGAAACGACUUAUGAUUUCUUGAAAUGCGAGAUUUAAUAACUGUCGCUCACCGGGGAGAUGCGAAAACUGAUGCUAAGCCUUGCAGGAUUUCAAUCGGCAUUCGGGGUAAUGAGUGCCUAUCGGGACGUCGCGACAGUUGUCACGGGCCCGAUGGGAGUUUCGGGUCAUGACAAUAUUUGACUUUGUUUUCUCUAAAUCAUGCCUGGGAACAAUGUCACGACCCGAAACUCCCAUCGGGCUCGUGACAAUCGUCGCGAUGUCUCAAUAGGCACUCAUUACCCCGAAUGUCGAUCGAAACCCCGCAAGGCUUAGCAUCAGCUUCCUCAUCUCCCUGGUGAGCGACAGUUAUUAAAUCUCACAUUUCAAAAAAUCAUAAGUUGUUUCCAAACCAAAAUAAUAAAAUAUUUUUUUUUUUAGCUCAUAGGGGCAUUUUCGUCAUUUUUUUUUCAAAAAUACCGCAACCCGCCAAAAACAUGGUGUAAAAGAUAAAUAUGUUCAUACAUACUUUAAAUCAGAUAACUGAAGUAUAAAAUUACUUUUACAGUGAUACGUGGACCCCCAACUGACCAAGAAGGUGUAAGGCUACGAACCUUUACUUUCUAGGAUGCAACUCCGAGAUUAAUUCUCGUCUUAAUCAACUAUCAACAAACUGUCUUGAGCCUGAAAAUUGGAUAGGAAGAGGGGUGAGAUUAUGAUUACAUAAUCCUAGUGAAUAAACAGACACCAUCUAAACUAUCUAAAGGCGAGUAAAGGGAGACAAUUAAAAAUAGUUCAUUUCAGCAAAUUUUUCACAACACGAAUAUUCAUUUCAACCAAAUAAUCAAUAUGGCUCGUGAAUUUCUCAAAACUUGGCUCCUGCCAAAAUCAUUCUCGCGAGUACCUUCGUCAAGGUAUCCCACUGAGACCGCCAAGGCUGUUAAAUGUCCCAUACCCAUAAACAUGUUUUCGUAUCUGACACACAGCCGUUCCUUGACGUUGGCUGAGUCUCACUCUCACGCGGUGGUUAAAGUGAAGUGCACUCAAAAAGCCCACCUCAAGAGAUACCCUACGCGCCUCUACGAUCGAGGUGAGAAUAUAAAGGAGUUUACCGUGCCCCUCUAAUAGGCUGGUCCACGGAACCCCCCACCACUGCAGUAACUAAUCUUUAAUCCACCAAUUGAUCAAAUCUCAAUGGCAUAGCAUGACAACUACAUUACUAACCAAUUUAUCAAGGCAAAACAGACGGCUCAUAUUUUUCAACACAGGUAUAAAUUCAGCCAAUCAUGCCAAUUUAUCACAAGCCAUUUAAUUCAAAUCAUAAUUUACAAUAAAUCACAUGGUCUCCAAUUACUCAAAUUUUCAAAGCCAUCAUUCAAUUUCAAGACAAUUUUAUGAAAUCAUUUUAUUAAAUCACAUUUUGUUUAUAAAACAUCAAGAUUUACCAUUUAAACUCAUUUUUCAUAAAAUCACAAAAUCUGAUAAAAACCACUUUAGAUAAUUCAGACGAUAAUAGGCUUACUCACAAUUCUAGGAGUAGAAAUACUCCUAUUUUCAGUCCGCGGGUACAGUCCUUUACCCGUAUCCAAUGGCUCACCACCUAGCCAUAAUCCAUGACACAUAUUCUAAUUAAAUUGGGUCUAACAGUCUUAAGCUAUUUCAGGCUCGAUAUAUAUAUAUGCAUGAUAUGAAAUGAAAAAUGCACGGGUAGCCAUCUAGACCCGGUAUUGGCCUAAGUCGAUUUUUCAUCCGAUAAAUUAGCCAAUGCGUCCAAUUUCACUCCAACUUGCUCCAUUUCUUUUCCAAUCCCUCAAUUCACCAAGCACAACUAAUUAACACACAAUUAGGCAAAUUUAUCUUCACUUUUCUUCUUGGAACUUUCGACCAACAAUGAUACACUAACUCCAUGAUUUUUCCUACUUAAUUUUCUCUCCAUAAUUCAUUAAUUCCUACACCAAAAACUGUUAUUUCUUAAUCAAAUCACCUAGAAUAACAUCCCAUUCUUCCUCAUUAUUCACUUAGAGAAUUCGGCUAUUGAUGGGCACCAAACCUUUGGUGGUUUUCUUCACUUGUUUUCAUGCUACACAUCAUUAAUCACCUAAAAACACUAACAUACCUAAAAAUCAAACCAAUCCAAGAUCAUUCUCUCUCCAUACCCAUUUUGACCAGCCAUGAAUUCAUCAUGAAAACAUGUAAUUUAACCAUGGAAAUUAAGGGAAAAUGCAUGGGUAAGGUAAAUCACUAGCAAAAUCAAAGAAAUUUUACCUUUGCUUGAUCAAACCCUUGAAUUCCAACACUUUCUCUUUGAUUUUUUCCACCUAGGGUUUGUUCUUCUUUGUUUUCUCUUCUCUUCUGGUUUGGCUGAUCACUAUGGGAGAAAUGGGCAGAUUUUUUGCCUUUUUAUAAAGAGAUAAUAAAAUAAUAAAAACAUGACACAUGGCAUUUUCUUAUUGGUUCAAAUUUUAAAUAUUUGACUUUUAAUUCUUUAAUUUUCCACCACACAUUUCUCAUGUUUAUUCAUUUCCAUGAUGAAUAAAAUCCCUUGGUAUUGACAAGUGUUGGGAGUGAAAAUUUACCGAUUUGCCCUCGGGGUGGCAAAAUUACCAUUUCGCCCCUAUACUCUAAAUUAUACCGAAAUUAAAAUUUUUCACUUCUAAACUUCAAAUCAUACUCCAAUACCCAAAUCAUACUCCAAAAAGUCAAAUGGGGCCAAAAAAAUCUUUUCUAAAAAUUUUCAUUUUGUCCCCAAGUGGCAAAUGACCAUUUUACCCUUAGAUAGUGAAAAUUUCGGUUUGACUCCAAAUUGAUCCUCGAACUCCGAAUUACCAUUUUGAGUCAUCCCUGAACUGUGAAACUCUUAAUUUCACCUUAAAAUUUCUAUUUGAACUAGUUCGAGGCUUAAUCGACUUAAUGGUACCAUUAGGGGCAAUAUCGUCUUUUAACGAUUCCUCGAACUUCCUAAAUAUGCAAACAUUCUAUUGAGCAUGUAAAUGACAUCGUAAUUAUUUUAUAGAACAGGGUUUGACAAACAAGCUCUUGAUGAAACGUUUUAUGUUGUAAAAUGUGUAAUGUGAUGAACCCAUGUGUUCCUAUAUUCUGAUGAUAUAUAUGUUAUGCUUUGCAUGAUAAUAUUGUGUGAUAAUUGUAACCACGCGUUUGCGGUGUGGGAGUGCACAUGUCGGUGAUGACAAGUGAUUCCAGCUAUGUGCGAUGUGGGAGUACACAUAAGCUGAUGACCGAUAGAUGAUGAUUCUAGCUAUGUGCGGUGUGGGAGUGCACAUGAGCUGAUGACCGAUGGAUGAUGAUUCCAGUUAUGUGUGGUGUGGGAGUGCACAUGAGCUAAUGAGCCAAUGGUUGUAUACAUGUUUACACAUACCAUAGAAAUGUUAGAGAAAAUAUUAUGUGAUUGCAAUGAAUGUUGAAUGUUGAAAUUGUUAAUUACUUCCAAAUUGAUUUUCAAUGCAACGAGAAACUCUCUGUCUUGCUUGUCUUGCUUGGAUAUUUGUUGUAGUUUUCACUUUUUUCAACUUCGCUAUUGAUCAUAAAUCCUUCACUCUAAGGGAUUAAAUAACCAAAGGCUGAAUUAAGGGGCUUUACAAGAAAUUAAGCUAAAUUGCAUUGUUUUUAACAUAAGUGCAUCAUGUUUUCUACAACUUUUCGUAUCGUUUACUUGUUCCCUUCCGAUGUUCACUCACCAAGUUUAUACUCACUCUUUUAAACUUCAAAUUUUCAGAGUCGGAGGUAGUUGGGACCUAGAUUGAGGUGUCCACAUAUAUUCGUCUUUUUGAUAGGUACCAUGGCAUUCAAUAGUUGUACCUUCACCCAAAGUCACUCCGCUGAUAAUCAAGAGUCUUUUGCCUAUGUAUGCAUACGCAUAAUGUAAAUCACUAAGAUUCAUAGUAUAAACAAUAUAUGUAUAUUUUGAUUGAUGAUGCCACUAUAAGUUGACAAUGGG
This 6065-nucleotide long non-coding RNA is filed under the name Theobroma cacao (cacao). RNAcentral's name for it is "long non-coding RNA (TCAC_LNC002521)". Lineage: Eukaryota; Viridiplantae; Streptophyta; Magnoliopsida; Malvales; Malvaceae. The record is from RNAcentral.